Molecule: long non-coding RNA, 206 nt
Filed under: Trifolium pratense (red clover)
Lineage: Eukaryota; Viridiplantae; Streptophyta; Magnoliopsida; Fabales; Fabaceae
Description: long non-coding RNA (TPRA_LNC007766)
Source: RNAcentral
GGGUAGUGUCUAGGCGAUAAGUCAAGUACCGGGUGUUGGUCGAGGGCUUUGAACUAGAGCUAUUAUAGUGGAUUCAUUCCUGGAUUGGUAUCCCCCAGUGUAGGUGACGUUGCACUGAACUGGGUUAACAAACGAUCUGUGUUAUUUAUUAUUCUGUCGUUUAUUGCUUUAUUUUAUUCAGCGCCUGUCUUGCUGCAACAUAUGCU